This 782-nucleotide ribosomal RNA is filed under the name uncultured bacterium. Its description in RNAcentral is "bacterial SSU rRNA". It matches the Rfam family "Bacterial small subunit ribosomal RNA", at positions 8 to 796 of the family's 1533-position model. The record is from RNAcentral.
AGAGUUUGAUCCUGGCUCAGAAUCAACGCUGGCGGCGUGCCUAACACAUGCAAGUCGAGCGAGAAAGGGGGGGCAACUCCCUGAGUAAAGCGGCGCACGGGUGAGUAACACGUGGGUAAUCUGCCCUGGAGUGGGGAAUAACACCGGGAAACCGGUGCUAAUACCGCAUACGAUAGUGAGGUCUGCGGACUUUGCUAUGAAAGGAGCAAUUCGCUCUAGGAGGAGCCCGCGGCUGAUUAGCUAGUUGGUGAGGUAACGGCUCACCAAGGCUACGAUCAGUAUCCGGUCUGAGAGGACGGUCGGACACACUGGAACUGAGACACGGUCCAGACUCCUACGGGAGGCAGCAGUGGGGAAUUUUUGGCAAUGGGGGCAACCCUGACCAAGCAACGCCGCGUGGGUGAUGAAGUCUCUUGGGACGUAAAACCCUUUCGACGGGGAAGAAAACCGCAAGGUUUGACGGUACCCGUAGAAGAAGCCCCGGCUAACUCCGUGCCAGCAGCCGCGGUAAUACGGGGGGGGCAAGCGUUGUUCGGAAUUACUGGGCGUAAAGGGCGCGUAGGCGGUCCGCUAAGUUGGAUGUGAAAACUCUGGGCUUAACCCAGAGCCUGCAUUCAAAACUGACGGGCUAGAGUUCUGGAGGGGGUAGCGGAAUUCCUGGUGUAGCGGUGAAAUGCGUAGAUAUCAGGAGGAACACCGGUGGCGAAGGCGGCUACCUGGACAGAAACUGACGCUGAGGCGCGAAAGCUAGGGGACAACAGGAUUAGAUACCCUAGUAGUCC